RNAcentral lists this ribosomal RNA (383 nucleotides) under uncultured eukaryote. Its description in RNAcentral is "partial 18S ribosomal RNA". It matches the Rfam family "Eukaryotic small subunit ribosomal RNA", at positions 592 to 976 of the family's 1831-position model. The record is from RNAcentral.
CAAUAGCGUAUAUUAAAGUUGUUGCAGUUAAAAAGCUCGUAGUUGGAUUUCUGGUGGGAGCGAUCGGUCUGGCGCUUAGCGCGAGUACUUGCAUCGUCUCCGGCCAUCCUUGGGGAGAGUCUGUCUGGCAUUAGGUUGUCGGGCAGAGGAUCUUCAUCGUUUACUGUGAAAAAAUUAGAGUGUUCAAAGCAGGCUUAUGCCGUUGAAUAUAUUAGCACGGAAUAAUAAGAUAGGACUUUGGUACUAUUUUGUUGGUUUGCGCACCAAAGUAAUGAUUAAUAGGGACAGUUGGGGGUAUUCGUAUUCCGUUGUCAGAGGUGAAAUUCUUGGAUUUACGGAAGACGAACUACUGCGAAAGCAUUUACCAAGGAUGUUUUCAUUAA